AUUGAACGCUGGCGGCAGGCCUAACACAUGCAAGUCGAGCGGAUGAAGGGAGCUUGCUCCUGGAUUCAGCGGCGGACGGGUGAGUAAUGCCUAGGAAACUGCCUGGUAGUGGGGGAUAACGUCCGGAAACGGGCGCUAAUACCGCAUACGUCCUGAGGGAGAAAGUGGGGGAUCUUCGGACCUCACGCUAUCAGAUGAGCCUAGGUCGGAUUAGCUAGUUGGUGGGGUAAAGGCCUACCAAGGCGACGAUCCGUGACUGGUCUGAGAGGAUGAUCAGUCACACUGGAACUGAGACACGGUCCAGACUCCUACGGGAGGCAGCAGUGGGGAAUAUUGGACAAUGGGCGAAAGCCUGAUCCAGCCAUGCCGCGUGUGUGAAGAAGGUCUUCGGAUUGUAAAGCACUUUAAGUUGGGAGGAAGGGCAGUGAGUUAAUACCUUGCUGUUUUGACGUUACCAACAGAAUAAGCACCGGCUAACUUCGUG
RNAcentral lists this ribosomal RNA (484 nucleotides) under uncultured bacterium. Its description in RNAcentral is "partial 16S ribosomal RNA". It matches the Rfam family "Bacterial small subunit ribosomal RNA", at positions 30 to 507 of the family's 1533-position model. The record is from RNAcentral.